GCUAGUACGAAGGCGUUAGCCAAAGAGUAGGGUUGCUUGAGAGUGCAGCUUGAAGUAGGAGGUAUGCAUCUCCUAAGACUAAAUAUUACUGCGAGACCGAUAGCGAACAAGUAGCGUGAGCGAAAGUUGAAAAGAACUUUGAAGAGAGAGAACAAAGAGCGUGAAACCACUAGUAGGGAAGCGGAGAUUAUCCCGAAGUGGCGUUGCAUUUGUGUGGUAUUUUAACGUCUGACGGUGUUAUGCUUACAGUUUAGUUUUUGUUUCGGCAGAGAAAACCUGUAUGUGUAUUAAGCUGUCGAUUAAGAUGCUACAAAGCACAGAUGUUGCCAGUAUUGUGUCUUCUUUCAAAACUUCAUAGUGCUACUAAUUGCUUGAGCUCACUCUUUGGGGGAGUUUGAAUUAGAUUGGUGGUUUUAGACUGUAUACUAACUCAAGUUUUACUAGAAAUGGUAAGAUGAGAGGUGAAGUCUCUAUGGUUUGAGUAAAGGAAGAAAAGGCAUAAUAUAAGUAGAUCGAUAAAUCUCUGCCCCGUCUUGUAACACGGACCAAGGAGCCUAACGUGUACGCAAGUCUCUUGGAAAUAAAAAGCCAAGUGGCGUAACGAAAGCAAGUUGUGUUUUUCUAUACAAGUUGAACACUGUUACGAUGCGUUUUUUAGUUGAAGAACGUUGCAGUAACAAUGCGAUUCUUACGAGUCGUAUUAGAGCGUAUACGGUAGUACCCGAAAGAUGGUGAUCUAUGCUUGAGCAAGGUGAAGCCAAAGGAAACUUUGGUGGAGGCCUGCAGCAGUUUUGACGUGCAAAUCAAUUGUCAGACUUGAGUAUAGCGGCGAAAGACUAAUCGAACCAUCUAGUAGUUGGUUCCCUCCGAAGUUUCCCUCAGGAUAGCUGGCACNAUUUUUUUUUAAAAUAACCAUUUAAACCUGUUACAGUCUCAAUAGAAGGUAACGGGGCGUUAAUUGACCUUGUCCUUUUCUUAAACUCGGUCAAUGGGUUUUAAAGUUGCAUACUAAUAGUAUGUAAAUUUUGUUUAAUGGUAACGCUUAGUGGGCCAUUUUUGGUAAGCAGAACUGGCGAUGCGGGAUGAACCGUACACAGAGUUAAGGUGCCAAAGUUUAAUACGCUAAUUAGAUCCCACUAAAGAUGUUGUUCGCUUAAGACAGUAGGGCGGUGGCCAUGGAAGUCGGCAUCCGCUAAGGAGUGUGUAACAACUCACCUACCGAAGCGUUCAACUCUGAAAAUGGAUGGCGCUUAAGCGUUACACUGAUACUCUGUCGUAGUAGUAAAUCCGUAAGAAUGCAUAUUGCAAUGGAACAUUGUUUAAUAUGUAGAUUAAACUUCUACGAGUAGGAGGAAUGUGGUGAUAGCGUUGAAGUUUUGCGCGUAAGCGCGAAUGGAGCUAUUGCUAGUACAGAUCUUGGUGGUAGUAGCAAACAAACAAGUGACAACCUUGUUGACCGACGUGGAUACGGGUUUCAUGGGAACAGUAAUUGGCCAUGAGUUAGUCGAUCCUGAGGAGUGACGUGAAGGCGUUUUCGUAAGAAGUAUCUCUUGUUGGAUACACUCCGAAAGGGAAUGAGGUUAAUAUUCCUCAACCUUGAUCAUGCAAAUUCAAAGCGGUAACGCAGUCGAACUCAGAGACAUCUGCCAAAGUCCUGGGUAGAGAUAUCUUCUCUACCUUAAGGUGUGCUAAGUGCCUUGAAUCAGUUUAGCUGGAGACAGGCAUAGAUGCGCCGAAUAGCAUCGCGCUUCAAGUGAUGUGUACAGUGUACUUUGGUUGAUCCUUGAAAAUCUGGGUGAGUAUUAUUAAGGCAUGACAAGAUCGUACCUAGUUCCGCAACAGGUAUCCUAGGUGAACAGCCUCUGGUCUAUUAGAAGAAUGUAGGUAAGGGAAGUCGGCAAACCUGAUCUGUAUCUUUGGUACAAAGGUUGGCUCUGGCGUGUUUGCUUGAUGCGGUGUAAUUAGUACGCCGGAAUAGUUUGCGAAGACUGACGAUUGGCGCAAGUCGAUUGUUGGACUUUGUGAACAGUUCUUGCCGAAAACUGCAUUGUGUCUUGCAAUUAAAACAAUUAGUCAGAACUAUCAUUGACUGUUCGGAAUCUGACUGUUUAAUUAAAACAUAGCAUUGAGAUGACCGGUGACCCGGUGUUGACUCAAUGUGAAUUCUGCCCAGUGCUCUGAAUGUCAACGUGUAGAAAUUCAAUGAAGCGCGGGUAAACGGCGGGAGUAACUAUGACUCUCUUAAGGUAGCCAAAUGCCUCGUCAUCUAAUUAGUGACGUGCAUGAAUGGAUUAACGAGAUUCCAUCUGUCCCUACUUACUAUCUAGCGAAACCACAGCCAAGGGAACGGGCUUGGCGAAAUCAGCGGGGAAAGAAGACCCUGUUGAGCUUGACUCUAGUCUGGCAUUGUGAGGAAACUGUAUCUGGUAUAGCUUAGGUGGGAGGCAAGGCAACUUGUCGUUAUCAACUGUAAAACCACCACAGUACAGCACCACUCACUGACUUAAUUAUGAGGCUUACUUUAUCGUUUUUUUUAAAAAUGGUAAAGGAAACUUUUUAAUUGCAAAUUAAGCCGGUGCGGUGUUAUUGGGUUCGCUCAAUUUCACGUAUCGUACCGUCGAGGCAUUAUUUAAGGACAGUGCCAGGCGGGGAGUUUGACUGGGGCGGUACAUCUAUCAAAUGCUAACGUAGGUGUCCUAAUGUUAGCUCAGUGAGACCAGAAAUCUCACGUAGAAUAUAAGGGUACAAGCUAGCUUGAUUCUGAAUAUCAGUGCGAUUGCGAGACAAGAAAUUGUGGCCUAACGAUCCUUUUGAAAAGCGAAAUAUUAUCAAUGCAUAAUGCAAGAGGUGUCAGAAAAGUUACCACAGG
Molecule: ribosomal RNA, 2869 nt
Filed under: Elisabethiella stueckenbergi
Lineage: Eukaryota; Metazoa; Arthropoda; Insecta; Hymenoptera; Agaonidae
Description: eukaryotic LSU rRNA
Rfam family: Eukaryotic large subunit ribosomal RNA
Source: RNAcentral